UAGGAAAUAAAAAGGCAUCUUUUUAUUUUUAAAAAACCUUUUUCGGAAGGUAUGCUUAAAGAGGGGCUUGCGUCACAUUAGUUAGUUGGCAGGGUAAAGGCCUACCAAGACUAUGAUGUGUAGCUGGACUGAGAGGUUGAACAGCCACAUUGGGACUGAGACACGGCCCAAACUCCUACGGGAGGCAGCAGUAGGGAAUUUUCGGCAAUGGAGGAAACUCUGACCGAGCAACGCCGCGUGAACGAUGAAGUAUUUCGGUAUGUAAAGUUCUUUUAUUGAAGAAGAAAAAAUAGUGGAAAAACUAUCUUGACGAUAUUCAAUGAAUAAGCCCCGGCAAACUAUGUGCCAGCAGCCGCGGUAAUACAUAGGGGGCGAGCGUUAUCCGGAAUUAUUGGGCGUAAAGGGUGCGUAGGCGGUUUAAUAAGUCUAUAGUUUAAUUUCAGUGCUUAACACUGUCCUGCUAUAGAAACUAUUAGACUAGAGUGAGAUAGAGGCAAGUGGAAUUCCAUGUGUAGCGGUAAAAUGCGUAAAUAUAUGGAGGAACACCAGAGGCGUAGGCGGCUUGCUGGGUCUUUACUGACGCUGAGGCACGAAAGCGUGGGGAGCAAACAGGAUUAGAUACCCUGGUAGUCCACGCCGUAAACGAUGAGUACUAAGUGUCGGGAUUACUCGGUACUGAAGUUAACACAUUAAGUACUCCGCCUGAGUAGUACGUACGCAAGUAUGAAACUUAAAGGAAUUGACGGGACUCCGCACAAGCGGUGGAUCAUGUUGUUUAAUUCGAAGAUACACGAAAAACCUUACCAGGUCUUGACAUACUCUGCAAAGCUAUAGCAAUAUAGUGGAGGUUAUCAGGGAUACAGGUGGUGCAUGGUUGUCGUCAGCUCGUGUCGUGAGAUGUUAGGUUAAGUCCUAAAACGAGCGCAACCCUUGUCAUUAGUUGCCAGCAUGUCAUGAUGGGCACUUUAAUGAGACUGCCAAUGAAAAAUUGGAGGAAGGUGAGGAUCACGUCAAAUCAUCAUGCCCCUUAUGAUCUGGGCUACAAACGUGAUACAAUGGCUGUUACAAAGAGUAGCUGAAACGCAAGUUUAUAGCCAAUCUCAUAAAAGCAGUCUCAGUUCGGAUUGAAGUCUGCAACUCGACUUCAUGAAGUUGGAAUCGCUAGUAAUCGCGAAUCAGCAUGUCGCGGUGAAAUC
This 1196-nucleotide ribosomal RNA is filed under the name Candidatus Phytoplasma oryzae. Its description in RNAcentral is "bacterial SSU rRNA". It matches the Rfam family "Bacterial small subunit ribosomal RNA", at positions 172 to 1369 of the family's 1533-position model. The record is from RNAcentral. Lineage: Bacteria; Bacillati; Mycoplasmatota; Mollicutes; Acholeplasmatales; Acholeplasmataceae.